Molecule: non-coding RNA, 21 nt
Organism: Caenorhabditis elegans
Lineage: Eukaryota; Metazoa; Nematoda; Chromadorea; Rhabditida; Rhabditidae
Source: Ensembl
GCUAGAUUUAUUCCAGUUUUU